UAAGGAAUUCUGUAAGACCAUGGAUGGUAGU
This 31-nucleotide non-coding RNA is filed under the name Homo sapiens (human). The record is from RNAcentral. Lineage: Eukaryota; Metazoa; Chordata; Mammalia; Primates; Hominidae.